This 731-nucleotide ribosomal RNA is filed under the name Pythonichthys asodes (Pacific mud eel). RNAcentral's name for it is "partial 12S ribosomal RNA subunit". It matches the Rfam family "Bacterial small subunit ribosomal RNA", at positions 259 to 1334 of the family's 1533-position model. The record is from RNAcentral. Lineage: Eukaryota; Metazoa; Chordata; Actinopteri; Anguilliformes; Heterenchelyidae.
AAGUACCCGCAAACCCGUAGAAUGCCCUUUUCCCCAAAAAGGGGACAAGGAGCCGGCAUCAGGCACACUAUCAGUAGCCCAAAACGCCUUGCUCAGCCACACCCCCAAGGGAAUUCAGCAGUGAUAAAUAUUAAGCCAUAAGCGAAAGCUUGACUUAGCUAGGGUUAAGAGAGCCGGUAAAACUCGUGCCAGCCACCGCGGUUAUACGAGAGGCUCAAAUUGAUAUUCCACGGCGUAAAGCGUGAUUAGAGAACAAACUAUACUAAAGCUAAACACCUCCCAAGCUGUCAUACGCUACCGGAGCACACGAAACUCAAUAACGAAAGUGGCUUUAACUAACUCUUGAACUCACGACAGUUAAGACACAAACUGGGAUUAGAUACCCCACUAUGCUUAACCGUAAACAAUGGUGAAACUAUACAAAACCCACCCGCCAGGGGACUACGAGCACUAGCUUAAAACCCAAAGGACUUGGCGGUGCCUCACACCCGCCUAGAGGAGCCUGUUCUAUAACCGAUAAUCCCCGUUAAACCUCACCACUCCUUGCCAAUUCCGCCUAUAUACCGCCGUCGCCAGUUUACCUUCUGAGAGAAUAAAAGUAAGCUAAAAGGGCAUUGCCCCAUACGUCAGGUCGAGGUGUAGCGAAUGAAGUGGGAAGAAAUGGGCUACAUUUUCUAAUUUAGAAUACUACGGAAGGUAUAAUGAAAAUUAUACAGCUGAAGGCGGGUUUA